ACGGGGAGCAGCAGGCGCGAAACCUUUACACUGCACGAGAGUGCGAUAAGGGGACUCCGAGUGUGUGGGCAUAGAGCCCACACUUUUGUGUACCGUAAGAUGGUACACGAAUAAGAACUGGGCAAGACCGGUGCCAGCCGCCGCGGUAAUACCGGCAGUUCGAGUGAUGGCCGAUCUUAUUGGGCCUAAAGCGUCCGUAGCCGGCCGGGCAAGUCCGUUGGGAAAUCUGUUCGCUUAACGAACAGGCGUCCAGCGGAAACUGCUCGGCUUGGGACCGAAAGACCUGAGGGGUACGUCCGGGGUAGGAGUGAAAUCCUGUAAUCCUGGACGGACCGCCGAUGGGGAAACCACCUCAGGAGGACGGAUCCGACGGUGAGGGACGAAAGCUAGGGUCUCGAACCGGAUUAGAUACCCGGGUAGUCCGAGCUGUAAACGAUGUCUGCUAGGUGUGGCACAGGCUACGAGCCUGUGCUGUGCCGUAGGGAAGCCGAGAAGCAGACCGCCUGGGAAGUACGUCCGCAAGGAUGAAACUUAAAGGAAUUGGCGGGGGAGCAC
RNAcentral lists this ribosomal RNA (555 nucleotides) under uncultured Halobacterium sp. RNAcentral's name for it is "bacterial SSU rRNA". It matches the Rfam family "Archaeal small subunit ribosomal RNA", at positions 325 to 879 of the family's 1478-position model. Lineage: Archaea; Methanobacteriati; Methanobacteriota; Halobacteria; Halobacteriales; Halobacteriaceae. The record is from RNAcentral.